Molecule: ribosomal RNA, 464 nt
Filed under: uncultured Acholeplasma sp.
Lineage: Bacteria; Bacillati; Mycoplasmatota; Mollicutes; Acholeplasmatales; Acholeplasmataceae
Description: bacterial SSU rRNA
Rfam family: Bacterial small subunit ribosomal RNA
Source: RNAcentral
GACGGGACCCCGCACAAGCGGUGGAUCAUGUUGUUUAAUUCGAUGAUACGCGAAGAACCUUACCAGGUCUUGACAUCCCCCGCGAUGCUUUAGAGAUAAAGCGGAGGUAUUCGGGGAGACAGGUGGUGCAUGGUUGUCGUCAGCUCGUGUCGUGAGAUGUUGGGUUAAGUCCCGCAACGAGCGCAACCCCUAUUGCUAGUUACCAUCAUUAAGUUGGGGACUCUAGCGAGACUGCCAGUGAUAAACUGGAGGAAGUGGGGAUGACGUCAAAUCAUCAUGCCCCUUAUGACCUGGGCUACAAACGUGAUACAAUGGCUGGAACAAAGGGAUGCGAAGCAGUGAUGUGGAGCGAAACCCAUAAAAACAGUCUCAGUUCGGAUUGAAGUCUGCAACUCGACUUCAUGAAGUCGGAAUCGCUAGUAAUCGCGGAUCAGAACGCCGCGGUGAAUACGUUCUCGGGGUUU